Molecule: ribosomal RNA, 250 nt
Filed under: uncultured bacterium
Lineage: Bacteria
Description: partial 16S ribosomal RNA
Rfam family: Bacterial small subunit ribosomal RNA
Source: RNAcentral
CGAUGAUUACUAGGAGUUUGCGAUAUACCGUCAAGCUUCCACAGCGAAAGCGUUAAGUAAUCCACCUGGGGAGUACGCCGGCAACGGUGAAACUCAAAGGAAUUGACGGGGGCCCGCACAAGCGGAGGAACAUGUGGUUUAAUUCGAUGAUACGCGAGGAACCUUACCCGGGAUUGAAAUGUAGAUGACGGAUGGUGAAAACCGUCUUCCCUUCGGGGCGUCUAUGUAGGUGCUGCAUGGCUGUCGUCAG